CUACGGGUCGCUCCAGUGGGGAAUAUUGGACAAUGGGGGAAACCCUGAUCCAGCAAUGCCGCGUGUGUGAAGAAGGCCUGCGGGUUGUAAAGCACUUUCGGUUGGGAGGACUGCUUCUAGCACUAAUAUUGUUGGAAGUUGACGUUACCUUCAGAAGAAGCACCGGCUAACUCCGUGCCAGCAGCCGCGGUAAUACGGAGGGUGCAGGCGUUAAUCGGAAUUACUGGGCGUAAAGCGCGCGUAGGCGGCUAGAUCAGUCGGGUGUGAAAGCCCCGGGCUUAACCUGGGAACUGCAUCCGAUACUGUCUAGCUUGAGUACAGGAGAGGAGAGUGGAAUUCCAUAUGUAGCGGUGAAAUGCGUAGAUAUGUGGAGGAACACCAAUGGCGAAGGCAGCUCUCUGGCCUGAUACUGACGCUGAGGUGCGAAAGCGUGGGGAGCAAACAGGAUUAGAUACCCCGGUAGUC
RNAcentral lists this ribosomal RNA (465 nucleotides) under uncultured bacterium. Its description in RNAcentral is "partial 16S ribosomal RNA". It matches the Rfam family "Bacterial small subunit ribosomal RNA", at positions 339 to 795 of the family's 1533-position model. The record is from RNAcentral.